GAGACUGCGAUGACAGGGAGAAGUACCGUCUUAUGUCCCGCCCAGAGAGCCCCCGGCUUGGUGUGAGGGGGAGGGGACAGGCCGGGAAAUACACCCUGGAGCAGCCGCCCGAACCGCGUGAAGGCGCGCAGUAGGGCUGUGUCGGGUGCGCCCGUUACCGCGCCGGAGUGUGUUGGCACUCCAUGAGGCUGUCUCCGUGAGGGGAUGGUGAACCAGAGGUGGUACCGCGUUUGACAACGCCCUCUGU
RNAcentral lists this non-coding RNA (247 nucleotides) under Flavonifractor plautii. RNAcentral's name for it is "T-box sequence". It matches the Rfam family "T-box leader". Rfam says of the family: Uncharged tRNA acts as the effector for transcription antitermination of genes in the T-box leader family. T-boxes are found upstream of many aminoacyl-tRNA synthetase genes and some amino acid biosynthetic genes usually in Gram-positive bacteria. The record is from RNAcentral. Lineage: Bacteria; Bacillati; Bacillota; Clostridia; Eubacteriales; Oscillospiraceae.